This 105-nucleotide ribosomal RNA is filed under the name Thermincola sp. Lineage: Bacteria; Bacillati; Bacillota; Clostridia; Eubacteriales; Thermincolaceae. The record is from RNAcentral.
GGCGAGAGGGACCCACCCGUUCCCAUCCCGAACACGGCAGUUAAGCCUCUCAGCGCUGAUGGUACUUGGACCGUAGGGUCCUGGGAGAGUAAGUCGUUGUCGGAU